Talpa occidentalis (Iberian mole) is the source of this 393-nucleotide long non-coding RNA. RefSeq lists it as uncharacterized. The record is from RefSeq and is a predicted model, not a curated record. The transcript is spliced from 3 exons. Lineage: Eukaryota; Metazoa; Chordata; Mammalia; Eulipotyphla; Talpidae.
CGAUUAGGCAUUUUGAGCAUGGGUUCGGUGGGGAUGAACACUCUGCCACCAGCCUGUCUGAAUGAGCGCCGCUGCAUACUAGCUAUGAGGGAUGUGGAACAGCCUAAACUUCUCUGUGCCUCAGUUUUCCCACCUGGAAAAUGGUGCUGCUUAUCAGGUUCUCGUGGAAAAACUUCCUCUGUUUGUCUUUGGCAAAAUGAGGAAAAGCCAGGACACGCCAGUGAGCUUCCCCUUGAAGUUCACUUUCUCCCCAGCUAUGUUCCUUUUCGCAAGGGCUGUCUGUUAUUCGGAGUUUCGACGCCCUUCUGUGCUGGCGGGUGAAGUGGGUGACGGCGGCAGGGUAGGCUGGGCUGCUUGGCGCUCGGGGCCUCGAGUGGAAAACAACAAGUGGCA